This 1077-nucleotide long non-coding RNA is filed under the name Homo sapiens (human). RNAcentral describes it as "non-protein coding LINC00967:7". The record is from RNAcentral. Lineage: Eukaryota; Metazoa; Chordata; Mammalia; Primates; Hominidae.
AUGUCUUUUCUUUCUUUCUUUUUUUUUUUUUCUCUCAUCCUCUCUCUUGGAACUCUGCUAGGAAGUAGAAGUGAUUAUCCACAUUCCAUAGAAGAAGAAGCGGAGCUCAGAAUGGUCUCAUCUCCAGGCAGCUGUCCCUCUUCUGGAUCUCUGGCAACUCCAGUUCACAGCACCCUUUCUCCUCCUAGCCUAGGAUCCAGUGCCUUUAGCAGCCCAGUCAUGCGACUCUCUCACACCAGCCUGGCACCUGGGUGUCGCCCGAAAGCCUCCUCAGAGCUGUCUUUGAUGAGCACCACCUGCUGCCUGUCAGUCCAACUGCGGUGGAGAUGGUUGGGGUCAAAUCCCCAUUGUCAAGGUGAUAGGAGAGACCUCAGUGUGCUUUGUGGAUGCAGAGGAUGAAAAUCAGCAAAACUGAAUGAGCUGUGUGCUGUUCUUAGAGGAAGCACUAGGUAAACUAUUCCAGUACAAUUCUGUUUAUUCUUUUCUGUGCAAACCCAAAUUUAGUGUACCCAAUACACAUGCAUAUGAAUACAUACCACAUAGAAAUGCACAGACAUCACACACACCCACAACACUCAGACACAGGGAUGUGAGUGUAUGCAUGAACACAUACUCACACUCACACACCAUUGUAAGGCUUGUCCUCAUCCUAAGAGUUUAACGUAAUAGCUUUUUUAAAAAAAAUUGAAUAAAUGAAUGAAUGAAAUCAUUAUUUUAUCUGUAAUCAUUUAACAGAGGAUGGAGAAUAAUAGCCACCCACUCUCAACCAUCCCAGUUUUAAACAUUUAUUAAUAUUGGGGUUUAUUUUUAAAAGAAAUUCAAAAACUUAGGGUAAAAUGUUCCCCCAAAACUUUUACUGUUGCCUGGGUUUAUUAUUUUUCAGAAUUCAAUAAAUUUUUCAGAAUUGUUUUUCCUUUAAAGAGUGGAAACUUCUGAAGAAAAUAGCCAUGUUACCAAUGUCGUCACGCUGAAGCCACAGAGUCAAGUUAGUGGCAAUGGCCGUGGACUGGGAGCCAAUUGAACUGGGUUUCAAUCCUGCCUUUUUUUUUAUUAUUUUUAAAUGCAACUGUAUGCAAA